AGUGAACGCUGGCGGUAGGCCUAACACAUGCAAGUCGAACGGCAGCACAGGAGAGCUUGCUCUCUGGGUGGCGAGUGGCGGACGGGUGAGGAAUACAUCGGAAUCUACUCAGUCGUGGGGGAUAACGUAGGGAAACUUACGCUAAUACCGCAUACGACCUACGGGUGAAAGCAGGGGACCUUCGGGCCUUGCGCGAUUGAAUGAGCCAAUGUCGGAUUAGCUAGUUGGCGGGGUAAAGGCCCACCAAGGCGACGAUCCGUAGCUGGUCUGAGAGGAUGAUCAGCCACACUGGAACUGAGACACGGUCCAGACUCCUACGGGAGGCAGCAGUGGGGAAGAUUGGACAAUGGGCGCAAGCCUGAUCCAGCCAUACCGCGUGGGUGAAGAAGGCCUUCGGGUUGUAAAGCCCCUUUGUUGGGAAAGAAAUCCAGCUGGCUAAUACCCGGUUGGGAUGACGGUACCCAAAGAAUAAGCACCGGCUAACUUCGUGCCAGCCGCCGCAGUAA
Molecule: ribosomal RNA, 506 nt
Filed under: uncultured bacterium
Lineage: Bacteria
Description: partial 16S ribosomal RNA
Rfam family: Bacterial small subunit ribosomal RNA
Source: RNAcentral